RNAcentral lists this long non-coding RNA (270 nucleotides) under Gossypium barbadense (sea-island cotton). RNAcentral describes it as "long non-coding RNA (GBAR_LNC004100)". The record is from RNAcentral. Lineage: Eukaryota; Viridiplantae; Streptophyta; Magnoliopsida; Malvales; Malvaceae.
GAAAGUAGUAUGGAAGCCAAUUCACCAAGCUGAGGUGGAGAGUAGAAAGCUAAGGAGAACAAGAGUGGAAAGUAUGUUGAAGUUUAGAACUUCGAAGAGUAUUGGCAGAAUGUAGGCUUAAUAUUUUCAAGAGUCGAUCCCCUCUUUAUCGUUCUUGGGAGUAUUUAUAGGCCAAGGUCUUGUGUAAUAUGGUGUUAAUAUGUUGGACUUGCCAUCUAGCCAUCAUUACGGAUCACGUGAGAAGGAUGUAUUCGAUGGGACGAGGGCGCC